CCCUUAGAGUUUGAUCCUGGCUCAGAACGAACGCUGGCGGCAUGCCUAACACAUGCAAGUCGAACGAAGUCUUCGGACUUAGUGGCGCACGGGUGCGUAACGCGUGGGAAUCUGCCCUUGGGUACGGAAUAACUCAGAGAAAUUUGUGCUAAUACCGUAUAAUGUCUUCGGACCAAAGAUUUAUCGCCCAAGGAUGAGCCCGCGUAAGAUUAGCUAGUUGGUGGGGUAAAAGCCUACCAAGGCGACGAUCUUUAGCUGGUCUGAGAGGAUGAUCAGCCACACUGGGACUGAGACACGGCCCAGACUCCUACGGGAGGCAGCAGUGGGGAAUAUUGGACAAUGGGCGAAAGCCUGAUCCAGCAAUGCCGCGUGAGUGAUGAAGGCCUUAGGGUUGUAAAGCUCUUUUACCCGGGAUGAUAAUGACAGUACCGGGAGAAUAAGCUCCGGCUAACUCCGUGCCAGCAGCCGCGGUAACACGGAGGGAGCUAGCGUUGUUCGGAAUUACUGGGCGUAAAGCGCGCGUAGGCGGUUUUUUAAGUCAGAGGUGAAAGCCCAGUGCUCAACACUGGAACUGCCUUUGAAACUGGAAACCUUGAAUCUUGGAGAGGUCAGUGGAAUUCCGAGUGUAGAGGUGAAAUUCGUAGAUAUUCGGAAGAACACCAGUGGCGAAGGCGACUGACUGGACAAGUAUUGACGCUGAGUGCGAAAGCGUGGGGAGCAAACAGAUUAGAUACCCUGGUAGUCCACGCCGUAACGAUGAUACUAGCUGUCCGGUUCAUAGAAACUUGGGUGGCGCAGCUACGC
Molecule: ribosomal RNA, 804 nt
Filed under: uncultured bacterium
Lineage: Bacteria
Description: bacterial SSU rRNA
Rfam family: Bacterial small subunit ribosomal RNA
Source: RNAcentral